UACGUAGGGGGCAAGCGUUUGUCCGGAAUCAUUGGGCGUAAAGAGCGUGUAGGCGGCUCGGUAAGUCCGCUCUGAAAGCCCGGGGCUCAACCCCGGGAGGCGGGCGGAUACUGUCGAGCUAGAGUCCGGAAGAGGCGAGUGGAAUUCCUGGUGUAGCGGUGAAAUGCGCAGAUAUCAGGAGGAACACCAAUGGCGAAGGCAGCUCGCUGGGACGUGACUGACGCUGAGACGCGAAAGCGUGGGGGAGCAAACAGG
Molecule: ribosomal RNA, 255 nt
Filed under: uncultured bacterium
Lineage: Bacteria
Description: partial 16S ribosomal RNA
Rfam family: Bacterial small subunit ribosomal RNA
Source: RNAcentral